GGGCCUGUAGCUCAGCUGGUUAGAGCGCUGUGUUGAUAACGCAGAGGUCACAGGUUCGAGUCCUGUCAGGCCCA
Weissella kandleri is the source of this 74-nucleotide transfer RNA. It matches the Rfam family "tRNA". From Rfam's summary of the family: Transfer RNA (tRNA) molecules are approximately 80 nucleotides in length. NCBI's taxonomy places the organism in Bacteria, Bacillati, Bacillota, Bacilli, Lactobacillales, Lactobacillaceae. The record is from Rfam.